GGGCUCGGUUUGGCAGCACAUAUACUAAAAUUGGAACUUUAUAGCGAAGAUUAGCAUGGCCCCUGCACAAGGAUGACACACAAAUUUGUGAAGUGUUCUAUAUUUCU
Acomys russatus (golden spiny mouse) is the source of this 107-nucleotide small nuclear RNA. Lineage: Eukaryota; Metazoa; Chordata; Mammalia; Rodentia; Muridae. The record is from RefSeq and is a predicted model, not a curated record.